GCCGAUAGCUCAGUGGCAGAGCGGUGGGGCGUUUACCCAUGCGGCCCGGGUUCGAUUCCCGGUCGAUGUA
This is a non-coding RNA of Phthorimaea operculella (potato tuberworm), 70 nucleotides long. Lineage: Eukaryota; Metazoa; Arthropoda; Insecta; Lepidoptera; Gelechiidae. The record is from the annotation of a GenBank genome assembly.